RNAcentral lists this ribosomal RNA (583 nucleotides) under uncultured bacterium. Its description in RNAcentral is "bacterial SSU rRNA". It matches the Rfam family "Bacterial small subunit ribosomal RNA", at positions 112 to 704 of the family's 1533-position model. The record is from RNAcentral.
AAUAUAUAGGAACAUACACUUUGGUGGGGAAUAACAUCGGGAAACUGGUGCUAAUACCGCAUAAGCCCGCGAGGGGAAAGAUUUAUUGCCAAAGGAUUGGCCUAUAUCAGAUUAGAUAGUUGGUGGGGUAAAGGCCUACCAAGGCGACGAUCUGUAGCGGGUCUGAGAGGAUGAUCCGCCACACUGGGACUGAGACACGGCCCAGACUCCUACGGGAGGCAGCAGUGGGGAAUAUUGGACAAUGGGCGAAAGCCUGAUCCAGCCAUGCCGCGUGUGUGAAGAAGGCCUUUUGGUUGUAAAGCACUUUAAGCGAGGAGGAGGCUACCGAGAUUAAUACUCUUGGAUAGUGGACGUUACUCGCAGAAUAAGCACCGGCUAACUCUGUGCCAGCAGCCGCGGUAAUACAGAGGGUGCGAGCGUUAAUCGGAUUUACUGGGCGUAAAGCGUGCGUAGGCGGCUUUUUAAGUCGGAUGUGAAAUCCCUGAGCUUAACUUAGGAAUUGCAUUCGAUACUGGGAAGCUAGAGUAUGGGAGAGGAUGGUAGAAUUCCAGGUGUAGCGGUGAAAUGCGUAGAGAUCUGGAGG